ACAUGGCACUGAGCGUACUCCUAUUCAGUGUCGUACCUGCCCGGUGGAAUAUUCUAAACGGCUGCGGUACCCUGACCGUGCAAAGGUAGCAUAAUCAUUUGCCUUUUAAUUGGUGGCUAGUAUGAAAGGUUUGACAGUGCCCCGACUGUCUCUACACUAUUUUUAUCUAAUUUGACCUUUAGGUGAAGAGGCCUAAAUAGAAUAGAAGGACGAGAAGACCCUAUGGAGCUAGGAGCGACAUACUGCUAUAGUAUUAACUUAUUGAUUGGGGCGAUCAGGGAGGACAAAAACCCUCCCGCUAAAUUACAGUAUUACAAGAACCAAAUUAUUUAUAAUGAAUUAGGGAUAGCUACCCUAGGGAUAACAGCACAAUUUUUUUUGAGAGACCUUAUUGAAAAAAAAGAUUAUGACCUCGAUGUUGGACUAAAGUCGCUGGAAGGUGUAGCAGCUUUCCAAAGAGAGCCUGUUCGGCUAUUAAACCUUUAC
Molecule: ribosomal RNA, 486 nt
Filed under: Pellamora splendida
Lineage: Eukaryota; Metazoa; Mollusca; Gastropoda; Littorinimorpha; Iravadiidae
Description: partial 16S ribosomal RNA
Rfam family: Bacterial large subunit ribosomal RNA
Source: RNAcentral